Monodelphis domestica (gray short-tailed opossum) is the source of this 63-nucleotide microRNA precursor. The record is from Ensembl. NCBI's taxonomy places the organism in Eukaryota, Metazoa, Chordata, Mammalia, Didelphimorphia, Didelphidae.
UUACAGAUUGGGAAACUGAGGUGUGGUAAAUCUGUUUACCUCGGUCUCCAUAAUCUGUAAAGG